AACGUAGGUCACAAGCGUUGUCCGGAAUUACUGGGUGUAAAGGGAGCGUAGACGGAUUAGCAAGUCUGAUGUGAAAGGCAGGGGCUCAACCCCGGGACUGCUUUUGAAACUGCAGGGCUAGAGUGCAGGAGGGGCAAGUGGAAUUCCUAGUGUAGCGGUGAAAUGCGUAGAUAUUAGGAGGAACACCAGUGGCGAAGGCGGCUUGCUGGACUGUAACUGACACUGAGGCUCGAAAGCGUGGGGAGCAAACAGG
Molecule: ribosomal RNA, 253 nt
Filed under: [Lactobacillus] rogosae
Lineage: Bacteria; Bacillati; Bacillota; Clostridia; Lachnospirales; Lachnospiraceae
Description: Lactobacillus rogosae partial 16S ribosomal RNA
Rfam family: Bacterial small subunit ribosomal RNA
Source: RNAcentral